GUGGAUUAGAUACCCUGGUAGUCCACACCGUAAACGAUGGAUACUAGGUGUAGGGAGGAUUAAACCUUUCUGUGCCGGCGCAAACGCAAUAAGUAUCCCACCUGAGUAGUACGACCGCAAGGUUAAAACUCAAAGGAAUUGACGGGGGCCCGCACAAGCAGUGGAGUAUGUGGUUUAAUUCGACGCAACGCGAAGAACCUUACCAGGGCUUGACAUACACUGGAAUACUUAAGAAAUUAGGUAGUCCUUCGGGACCAGUGAACAGGUGGUGCACGGUCGUCGACAGCU
This 288-nucleotide ribosomal RNA is filed under the name uncultured bacterium. RNAcentral describes it as "partial 16S ribosomal RNA". It matches the Rfam family "Bacterial small subunit ribosomal RNA", at positions 773 to 1060 of the family's 1533-position model. The record is from RNAcentral.